Molecule: ribosomal RNA, 253 nt
Filed under: uncultured bacterium
Lineage: Bacteria
Description: partial 16S ribosomal RNA
Rfam family: Bacterial small subunit ribosomal RNA
Source: RNAcentral
UACGGAGGGUGCAAGCGUUAUCCGGAAUUACUGGGCGUAAAGCGUGCGCAGGCGGUUCUAUAAGGCAGAUGUGAAAUCCCCGGGCUCAACCUGGGAACUGUAUUUGUGACUGUAGAGCUGGAGUACGGUAGAGGGGGAUGGAAUUCCGCGUGUAGCAGUGAAAUGCGUAGAUAUGCGGAGGAACACCGAUGGCGAAGGCAAUCCCCUGGACCUGUACUGACGCUCAUGCACGAAAGCGUGGGGAGCAAACAGG